This 919-nucleotide non-coding RNA is filed under the name Rhinella macrorhina (Santa Rita beaked toad). Its description in RNAcentral is "12S ribosomal RNA". It matches the Rfam family "Bacterial small subunit ribosomal RNA". The record is from RNAcentral. Lineage: Eukaryota; Metazoa; Chordata; Amphibia; Anura; Bufonidae.
UUUAGUCCUAACCUUAAAGUCAGUUUUUACUUUAUGUACACAUGCAAGUAUCCGCCCCCCUGUGAAAAUGCCCUUAACUCCCUCCUGGGACGAGGAGCUGGUAUCAGGCACAAUUAUAUGCCCAAGACACCUAGCUAUGCCACACCCACAAGGGAAUUCAGCAGUGAUUAAUAUUGAAAAUUAGCGCAAGCUUGAUUCAGUUAAAGUAAUAUAGAGCCGGCCAAUCUGGUGCCAGCCGCCGCGGUUACACCACGUGGCUCAAAUUGAUCUCCUCCGGCGUAAAGCGUGCUUAAAGUUUUACUCUUUUAGAGUUAAACUAGAACUGAGCUGUGACACGCCUGUUCAUAAGAAACCCUAGAACGAAAGUUACUCUAAUUUAAUCAACUUGAAUUCACGACAGUUGGGAAACAAACUGGGAUUAGAUACCCCACUAUGCCCAACCGUAAACUCUUAAUUACAUUUUAUCGCCAGGGAACUACGAGCCAAGCUUAAAACCCAAAGGACUUGACGGUACCCCACAUCCUCCUAGAGGAGCCUGUCCUAUAAUCGAUAAUCCUCGUUUAACCUCACCAUUUUUAGUUAAUCAGCCUGUAUACCUCCGUCGUCAGCUUACCACGUGAGCGUGAAUUAGUGAGCUUAAUGUUUUUCACCAACACGUCAGGUCAAGGUGCAGUAAAUGAAAUGGAAAGAGAUGGGCUACACUUUCUACUGUAGAAGAGACGGAAAACAUUCAUGAAAUCUAGUUAGAAGGCGGAUUUAGCAGUAAAAGGGGGUCAGAAUACCCAUUUUAACCCGGCACUGGGGUGUGUACACACCGCCCGUCAUCCUCUUCAAGGCCUCAACAAGUAUAAACUAAUCAAGGCACAACAGAAGGGGCAAGUCGUAACAUGGUAAGUAUACCGGAAGGUGUGCUUGGAAA